RNAcentral lists this microRNA precursor (80 nucleotides) under Sorex araneus (European shrew). RNAcentral's name for it is "miRNA (ENSSARG00000018867.1)". The record is from RNAcentral. Lineage: Eukaryota; Metazoa; Chordata; Mammalia; Eulipotyphla; Soricidae.
GCAUGGCACUCGGGGUGGGGCAGGUGGGGGGCGGGUGGUCCCAGCCUUGGCCCUCGGUGGCCGCCAGCAGGGCCUCGGGG